This is a long non-coding RNA of Zingiber officinale, 499 nucleotides long. RefSeq lists it as uncharacterized. The record is from RefSeq and is a predicted model, not a curated record. The transcript has 2 exons. NCBI's taxonomy places the organism in Eukaryota, Viridiplantae, Streptophyta, Magnoliopsida, Zingiberales, Zingiberaceae.
CAAGACCAGAUUUACCAGCCCUAGUGUGGCAUCCUGGUGCUGCCCUGUUUCUCCGUCCCUCUCUCUCGCUCGCUCGUUCUUCGGAUAGCCUGACUCCUUCGCAUGGCGAGCCAUCAGCAGCCGAUCCCGCGGCCGUGGAUCCUCGAUUUGCUCCUCCCCGCCUUAGUCGUUCUCCUCAUCGCCGCCCAUGUCUUUGCGUUGGUCUAUUGGAUCUACAGGUUAGCCACCGACAAGCAACCGCAGGUUGGCCCGCAGAGGAGCAAGGCCCAUUGAUCACCGUGAGUUUGCUCGUUCCAUACCCGACGAUCCCAAAUAUUUGAUUUUUUACGCCUUUUUUUUUUCUUCUCUUUCUAGUGUGAUACUUUAAUCUGUUAAUUUGUGCAUACAUGUAAGUUUUUUUUUUUUGGUGUGUGCCAUUUUUAUUCUAGAGAUGAGCUGAUCAUUUGUGUACAUGUUUUGCGUUUCAAGAACUGUUUUCGCACGAGAAUGCCGGUAUUCC